CAGCCGCCGCGGUAAAACAGAGGGUGCGAGCGUUAAUCGGAUUUACUGGGCGUAAAGCGUGCGUAGGCGGCUUUUUAAGUCGGAUGUGAAAUCCCUGAGCUUAACUUAGGAAUUGCAUUCGAUACUGGGAAGCUAGAGUAUGGGAGAGGAUGGUAGAAUUCCAGGUGUAGCGGUGAAAUGCGUAGAGAUCUGGAGGAAUACCGAUGGCGAAGGCAGCCAUCUGGCCUAAUACUGACGCUGAGGUACGAAAGCAUGGGGAGCAAACAGGAUUAGAGACCCGCGUAGUCCCUGUCUCUUAUAA
RNAcentral lists this ribosomal RNA (301 nucleotides) under uncultured bacterium. RNAcentral's name for it is "partial 16S ribosomal RNA". It matches the Rfam family "Bacterial small subunit ribosomal RNA", at positions 509 to 809 of the family's 1533-position model. The record is from RNAcentral.